RNAcentral lists this ribosomal RNA (484 nucleotides) under uncultured bacterium. Its description in RNAcentral is "partial 16S ribosomal RNA". It matches the Rfam family "Bacterial small subunit ribosomal RNA", at positions 29 to 507 of the family's 1533-position model. The record is from RNAcentral.
AUUGAACGCUGGCGGCAUGCUUUACACAUGCAAGUCGAACGGCCGCGCGGGCUUCGGCCUGGCGGCGCGUGGCGUACGGGUGAGUAAUACACCGGAACGUGCCCAGUAUAGGGGGAUAGCUUGGCGAAAGCCGGCUUAAUACCGCACACGACCUGAGGUUGAAAGCGGGGGAUCUUUGGACCACGCGGUAUUUGAGCGGCCGUAGGCAGAUUAGCUAGUUGGUUGGGUAAGGGCCUACCAAGGCGACGAUCUGUAGCAGGCCUGAGAGGACGACCAGCCACACUGGAACUGAGACACGGCCCAGACUCCUACGGGAGGCAGCAGUGGGGAAUUUUGGGCAAUGGGCGAAAGCCUGACGCAGCAAUGCCGCGUGUGUGAUGAAGGUCUUCGGGUUGUAAAGCACUGUUGGCGGGGAAGAAAAGAACUGUACGAAUCCAACGAUGCGAUGACGGUACCCGAAGAGUAAGCACCGGCUAACUACGUG